Molecule: ribosomal RNA, 254 nt
Filed under: uncultured bacterium
Lineage: Bacteria
Description: partial 16S ribosomal RNA
Rfam family: Bacterial small subunit ribosomal RNA
Source: RNAcentral
UACGAAGGGGGCUAGCGUUGCUCGGAAUUACUGGGCGUAAAGGGAGCGUAGGCGGAUAGUUUAGUCAGAGGUGAAAGCCCAGGGCUCAACCCUGGAAUUGCCUUUGAUACUGGCUAUCUUGAGUGUGGGAGAGGUUAGCGGAACUCCGAGUGUAGAGGUGAAAUUCGUAGAUAUUCGCAAGAACACCAGUGGCGAAGGCGGCUCACUGGCCCGGUACUGACGCUGAGGUGCGAAAGCGUGGGGAGCAAACAGGG